GACUUGUCUGGCUUUCCACUGUCCCCUGGCCUCUCAAUCCCACAUUCUGAUAGAAAAUUCUUUUCUCUGGCUUCACCACUAACCUUGUUUCUAAAUGACUAUGCUGUCUAUUUUUCUAUUUUUAUGUGACAUCCCACCACCUCCUUCUCCCUGGACCUUGGUUUCCCCAUCUGUCCAGUAAGAUAUUUGGAAAAUAAACAUCUCUAAAGUCCUUCAAGAUCCUUGGAUAUUCUGAAUCUAUGAAACAUCCCCUUAGUGGGUUGAGUAGCCCAAAGAAACAUCCCCUUACUUUAAGUGGUUAUCAUCUAAAAGCCAUGUAAGCAGCUUCAAUAAAUGCUAUUUACUAUACGCCAAAAAGUCCACUGCCCUGCUUGUUUUUUCCCCUUUUAACCCACUCCAGGUGGUUGAACCUCCAACCCCCGUGGGCCAUAGAGAAGAUUACUGCUCCUGUGGAGAUCCAAUACACAUUACUUGAUAAAAGCCAUACACAGGAAAGUUAGUGGUGAUUAGAAUCUAUUUGCCUUCACUUCAUCUUAUUACAGAUUAUGCUUGUAUAUUAACUUCAUAAUUCUCUGAUUACCAAGGAGUUCGACUGAGGUCCUGGGUCUCUUUAGUCCUCAUUAGCCUUGUCCAGCUGAGCUCGUGCUGGACUGAACCAUCAUCACAGUAUUUCUCAGUUGGCGGCGGAAGUGACGUGAUUCAUUCUGGGAACCUUGUCUCUGUUGCAGUAAACUAUUUGCAUACCGUGUGGAUUUGCACAGACCUAGCCUGUGGGAGGUCCUGGAAGCAGUUCGCUUUCACCCCCUUUCCUCUUGCGUCUGAGAAAUGACUGUCAAUUAUUCAGUAAGUGGUCCCCUCCGAGGGUUUUACAUCACUUCCUCAUAAAACAGACUUUAAUUUAGACAUUUUGAGACACAGUGUGGCACAGUGAUGGCAUACACAUCCUUGCGACAAGGGGGCUACGUUUCAGGCUGGUGGUUGACUUCGGAAGAGUUCCCUGAACUUUCUAAGCCUCUGCUUACUUAUCUGUAAAAUGGGAAUAACAACAAUGCCCGCCCGACAGGAUUGAUAUGAGAAUAAAGUGAAAUAUAUAAAUUGUAUAGCAUUUAGGAAGCAUUCAAUAUAUGUUAGUUUUCAUUAUUGUUAAUAUUAGUUAGUAUCUCCCAGGGGAAUAAUGGAAUGGCCGAGAGGCGGCAGAGUUUAUUUUGUGAAUAAGGAAAUAAAGCUACAGGAGCAGAGGUGACUUCAUACCCUCCAUAAACCCUGAUCAAGUACUCACCACAGGCCAGUCCCUCCAUAGUCAAAAAAAAAAAAAAAUCAAUGUCCAUCACGAUUCUCUGACCCUCCAACAAUAAGUAGCAUUUAACUGUGCCUGUGGGACCAGGGAAAGGCUUCCCAGAGGAAGCGCCACUAAACUGGUCUAGGGGAAUCAAUUUCCUCCUUCAGUACCCCUCCUCGAUCUUUAAAAACAAACUUAAUGUCACCUCCUCUGUGAAGCCCUCCUUUAUUCUCUCCCCAUUGACCAAUACAUAUGUAACCACUUUCUCCUCUCUUCAAUUCCUAUGCUUUGUACUGACACACUUGCAUAGAACAUGAACCAAAAGAGUGGAGAUUUUUAUCUUCUCUGUCGGUUUUCUAUGUCAUUAGCGUACACAGCCUGGUGUCUGGAACGCGCCAAAGAUCAUUGUAAUUGCUGACCUCGACGACAUGCUUCCUGUUGAUAGGCAUUCCUCUAAGUGCUAUAUUUACCUCAACUUAACCUCCUGGCAACUCUGUGAGGAUGCUGAGACACUGAGCAGUUUAGAAAUGUGCCCAGGAUUACUCACUAUCAGGGAUUGGACCCAGGCAGUCUGGCCCCAAACCCUGGCUCCUCGCCAUGAUGUAAUAAUUCUCCAGGAGGGUUUGCUGGACUGGACAUAAUAAUGGUCAACAAGGUCUAGGCAACUUACACGUAUUACUUUAAUUUUCACAACAACAGUCUGAUGAGGGUUUGGUUCUGCCCGUCAUGUUAUGUAAAAGUGUCAACUGAGGUCCAGUAUGUGUAUGUACCUCACCCAAGGAAGUAAGGCUGGUACGUGGCUGGAGUUUAAAUCCAAGCCUGUUGCCAGAGCCUGAAAUCUUAUCCACUGUCCUCAUAUCUCCCGUAAGGCGAUACAAGAAUCCCCAGCAUGAUUUUAAUGUGGUUCAUGGUUAAAUAGUUAUGUAUUUGUUUUAAUGUGCAGCACAAAUAAUUGGACCGCGAUCUUAAACCCAUGAUUUCGUAGGUGUAAAUGUGUAGAAUGAAGCGGAAAUAACUUGUGGUUGCCAAGGCGGAGGGGGAGGGAGAGGGGUGGACUGGGAGUCUGGGCUUAAUAGAUGCAAACUAUUGCAUUUGGAGUGGAUAAGCAAUGAGAUCCUGCAGUAUAGCACAGGGAAUUAUAUCUAAUCACUUGUGAUGGAGCAUGAUGGAGGAUACUGUGAGAAAAAGAAUGUAUAUAUAUAUGUGUGUGUGUGUGUGUUACUGGGUCACUUUGCUGUACAGUAGAAAAUUGACAGAACACUGAAAACCAACUAUAAUAGAAAAAAUAAAAAUCAUUUUUAAAAAAGAGAGAGAGCCUUCAGGUUGAGAAAAUGGCAUGAGCAAAGAGAUGACGUCAAGAAAAUGUUUGUGAGUUUCACACAAGGUAGUGUCUGGAUCUGUCUGCCUGGAUCUUUAAACUUUAUUCUAUAGGAAACGAUGAGCCUUUGCAGAUUUAGAAUCAGAAGUUGACAUGACAUUGUCUAUUAAUAUUUAUCUUUUAAAGUCAUUAUGGGAGAGUUCUCAUUGUGGCUCAGCAAGUUAUGAUCCCGACUGGUAUCCAUGAGGAUUGCAGUUUGAUCAGUGGCCUCACUCAGAGGGUUAAAGAUCCAGUGUUGCUGUGAGCUCUGGUGGAGGUCACAGAUUCAGCUCGGAUCCUGAGUUGCUGUGGCUAUGGUGUAGGCCAGCAGCUGCAGCUCCAAUUCAACCACUAGCCUGGGGACUUCCAU
This 3006-nucleotide long non-coding RNA is filed under the name Sus scrofa (pig). RNAcentral describes it as "lncRNA (ENSSSCG00030017727.1)". Lineage: Eukaryota; Metazoa; Chordata; Mammalia; Artiodactyla; Suidae. The record is from RNAcentral.